RNAcentral lists this transfer-messenger RNA (364 nucleotides) under Enterobacteriaceae (enterobacteria). RNAcentral describes it as "Serratia_F odorifera Standard tmRNA". It matches the Rfam family "transfer-messenger RNA". Rfam says of the family: Bacterial tmRNA, also known as 10Sa RNA or SsrA, is named for its dual tRNA and mRNA-like properties. Its role is to liberate the mRNA from a stalled ribosome. The record is from RNAcentral. RNAcentral also lists the same sequence under 4 other names. Lineage: Bacteria; Pseudomonadati; Pseudomonadota; Gammaproteobacteria; Enterobacterales.
GGGGCUGAUUCUGGAUUCGACGGGAUUUGCGAAGCCCUAGGAGCAUGCCGAGGGGCGGUUGGCCUCGUAAAAAGCCGCAAAAAAAUAGUCGCAAACGACGAAAACUACGCUUUAGCAGCUUAAUACCCUGCUCAGAGCCCUCUCUCCCUAGCCUCCGCUCUUAGGACGGGGAUCAAGAGAGGUCAAACCUAAAAGAGAUCGCGUGGAUGCCUUGCCUGGGGCUGAAGCGUUAAACCCAAUCAGGAUAGUUUGUUAGUGGCGUGUCCAUCCGCAGCUGACCGGCGAAUGUAAAGAUUGGACUAAGCAUGUAGUGCCGACGGUGUAGUAAUUUCGGACGGGGGUUCAAAUCCCCCCAGCUCCACCA